Long non-coding RNA from Micropterus dolomieu (smallmouth bass), 1484 nucleotides. RefSeq lists it as uncharacterized. The record is from RefSeq and is a predicted model, not a curated record. Lineage: Eukaryota; Metazoa; Chordata; Actinopteri; Centrarchiformes; Centrarchidae. The transcript is spliced from 2 exons.
GCUAAAGGCUAACAGCCGGGCUAAAGGCUGUCAGCCGGGCUAAAGGCUAACAGCCGGGCUAAAGGCUGUCAGCCGGGCUAAAGGCUAACAGCCGGAGUCUCCGCGUCCUGUAUUUAAACGUUCUCUUCUCAGUCCCAUACAGACUUUCUGAAAGCCUGUUUGGUUUCCUGAGACGGGGACGGUGUUGCUCAGAGGCUCAGGAUGAUUUCUGCUGCCAAGGCCUUUAUAUCAUGAUAUUGUGAUUGUGUAACUUAUUAAUUAGGCGUAUUAAAUAACCCAGAAUAUGAUUUAUUCGCUAAAUGUAGGACUUUCAACUGAAACUCAGUUUUCUGAUGUCCUUUAACACCGCAUACAUUUGAUUUAGUUACAUGCAUUUGAUUUAGUUACAUGCAUUUGAUUUAUUAGGUACAUGCAUUUGAUUUAUCUAUAAGUCACAUCAUUGAGCACGUUGCUUUUUUUUAGUGCAGCAGCUUCCUUUCGUACAUUUCAUCAGCUGAUUUUGUUCCCGGAGCCGCUUCCUCAGAUGCAGAUCAGCUUUCUUUGUUUUCGCUCGAGUCUUUGGUUUAGUCGUUUAUGUUUUUUCUCGUCUGUUUGGAUCAAACGCUCAGGAAGUAUCAGCCUCGUGUUUCUGACCGACAGACUCUCAGACUUCAUUAACGGGAGAAGUAACAGAAGGAAAUCUGUUUUAAUAAAUGUAGAAAGUUGUGUUUGGUCCGUUGGUUGUUCAGACCUACAGUGAACAGAUUUUAGAAAACAAAUAUAAAACUUGCCACUGAUUCUCUCGGGACACGUUUCCUUGCAACGUGACGCAACCAAGGGCUUCCAGUGGGUGGGCGUGUCACAGGUGCUGCCCAAUCAGCUGCGACAGGUUUGGUUCAGGGAACCAUCGACUCCGUUGAGAAAACGCUGUUAUCUCUCUUCACUCUGGUGACGAUGUGAUGUAUCCGAUCAGUCCGAUCAGCUGCAGCGUCCAAUCAAUUAGCAGAUGUGCACUGAGGGGGCGUGUCAGCUAAGGGGGCGUGUAUUUGUGCAGCUCCUCGCAGCACAAGUAAGGGUCCAAUCCCGAUGUCCCCCCUGAGCCCUGACAGACUUUACUGACGCCUCUUGGACUGUGACUGAGUGUGAGACGCUGCAGGGGCUCAAAAUGCUGUAAACAGGAAGGAGACAUCGCUUUGCCACAUCAUCACGUUACCUUGACGACGCUGCACACUUUUUAUUUUAUGUUUUUGCCUGAUUUUUAAGUCCUGCAUGCUCUCGCCCUGCAGACUAGAGGAGAGAAAAACUCAGCAUCAGCAGCAGUAGCAUCAGCGUUGGUGUCCAUGCAUGUUCGUUUACCUUCUUCUUCUCCCGGACUUCCUGGGAACGCGCCUCUCGAAGUCUGUGAGUGGACGUUGGGAUUGGGCCGAGAGCUUUGGGGCGGUCUGCAGGAUGGAUCACUGAGAAUCUUCAGACUCAGUUCUGAUGAAUAAAUGACGACCCCGUUA